Mangifera indica (mango) is the source of this 3934-nucleotide long non-coding RNA. RefSeq lists it as uncharacterized. The record is from RefSeq and is a predicted model, not a curated record. NCBI's taxonomy places the organism in Eukaryota, Viridiplantae, Streptophyta, Magnoliopsida, Sapindales, Anacardiaceae. The transcript is spliced from 5 exons.
GUUUAUUAGAUGUGAGACUCUUCUUUAUUUGACUCCUCAACAAUCAUUAUCCUGUUCCUCCUGCCCCAGGAAAGAAACAAAAGCAAGAAAAAACUUGUUGAUCGGUGAUUGUAGUAUCCCCAUCAUCAUCAACUUGGUGGGUCACAUUUUCUCUCUAUCUAAUUGAUUGUUUGGAUUAAUUUCUGUAUCGACUUUCAGUCAAUCCCUUGGAAUUGAAUGACUUUGUUUCCGUAAUGUCUGCAAUUUUCUCCAUCUAUGGCCCAAAUACAAACUGAAACUUGGAUUAGAAAGCAGAAUAAUUCCCAUUUAUUAUUCGAACCGGCUCAAAUCAGUUGUAUUCGAACUUAUAGUCUAAUUCCACUCAAUUCGGUUUAAGUUUGAAGGCCACCUGAGUCACCGCGCUAGAGGAGCUAUUGUUCAACAAUUAUUAUUCUUUUCAUGGACUCUUCUUUUCCCCGUGGCUCUGCUUUCAAACUCAAAUUCAAGUUAACCGUUCGUUUCAAAAGGAGCACUGUCAUGCAUGAUUAAACAUUGGAAGCCCCGCCGCAAUUUGAUUUUGACUGCAGGCCUGUAGGUAGAUCAAGCUUCCUCCUCUUCAAUAACUCUUCCACUGUCAGAUCACGAAUGAUGAAGAGCUUGUGAUGGACAGAUCACUUGUUCUUUGAAGUUCUUCUGUAUCAUGCUGCUUGCAUCAUGCUUCUUCAGAGACUCUUCUUCCUCAUCAGUCCUUCCCCUAAUCUCAGUCGUCCAACUACAUCCCGCCAAGCACAUGCUCAAUCUCAGUCACCCGUGAAAUUUUCCUGUCAACCCUAUCUCAGUUUCCAUUCGUACUUCCCGUCGAAUCCAUUCCUUUCCUUUCCGAACGCUUAAAAUCACCGCCUUCCAACUUUACUUCGAAGACAUUUGAAGCUCAUUUACGCCUUCCUUUCCUUUCCAAUGACAAGUUCUUUGAAGCUCCUCCGUAUCUUCGACGCUGAAUCUCCCGAACGCUUGGUCUCUUGACAAUCUUUUUCCAGCAUUCCCUCGAUACCCAUCAUAAUCAACGUAUCUUAACAUAAUAUCUUUCUUAUGAAUAGGGGCAAUUAUGUCAUUAUAACACUGUCUACAUAUUAGAUCGUCCUUUCAAAAUCACGAACCUCAAAAAGCGUGCCAUACAUUUAAAUCUUCGUCCAAAGUCGGUCAGACCACAUUCAUCACAAUUCCGUAAUCACCGUCCGAUUCGAACUCGAAUUCAUUCGAAACCACGGGUUAUAACAGUCAGAGCAACCGUCCAAUCCGUUUCCUUCCUGGCUCUUCUGUCUUCAAGCUUUCGCAAUCCUACCCUUUUUUGUCUGUUUUCUCCAAGCCAUAAUCUAUAAUUAUUCUGAUUUUAUGAUCUUUUUAAUUAAGAAAAAAGUUGAAAAACAAGUGUUUUGUAUAGAGCCAUGAGUGCUGGAGAUCUUGUAUAUAUUCAGCCCUCGAAGCUCAAAUUUGCAUAAAAGUUGUGUUGAAGAAGCAGAGUUCUUGUUCCAUGCAAUUGACCAACAAGACGGAUGAUUAUGUAGCCUUCAGCCUUCAGUUCAUUGAACACUGUAACUGAAUAGGUUAAAACUGUGUUCGGCCCAAUACCGGUGUCCCCAGGACCACAUGCAACGUUACGGUUACAAUGCAAGCACAAAAAGAGACACCCCCUGAUUUGCAGUGCAAGGACAAGUUCCUUCUACAAAGUGUUAUUGCACCAGAUAUAGUGACAGGAAUGGUGUGCUUUGCUGCUGUUAUUGUUUUUCUUAAUGUCUCAUUUACCUUUUGCAUGUUCAAAGUUUUUUGUUAAAAAAUCAGGUAGGCAAGUAAAGAGAAGUCCUCAGAGGUAACUAGUCUCUUUGACUGUGUUUAACUUUAGCAAUAGAAGUUUUCUUUUUGAUGGCUGUCAAAUGUUGUUGGUGUCCAAGACCGCAUAAGCUUAUUGAAAUGUAAUAUUUAAUGGAAGGCACAUGAGUUAGAUAUUAGAAAUAUCUGACAAAAUUGGUUCAGCUGCACCUUAGCCUUUUUUGAAGUAUGCAACAAACAUAUAAUGAUUCCAUUUUAUUAAUAUGUGGUGGGAAUUGAUUUUUUUUGUCUGAAGUUGCCUACCUUUAUUUAUACUUUUAUGUGUAUUAUCCUUGAUUAUAUUUAUUUUCCUUUGAUUGCCAAUUCUCUCAUGUGCAUUUCUUUUGUAGGCUUUGUCUGUGAUUUCUAAGUUGACACAGGAGAAAACUUCUGCCAUGCGACAAAAUUAGAAUUUACAGGAAGAACUGGCUGGUUUAAUUAUUUUUAUGUUGACUGUGUUUCUGUAUUAUUGUGAUUUGUUUUCAAAUAGUUUAAUCUUUUUCAUGCUCUAAUGCCAAUAAUAUUUCUUUUAGCAGCUUGCUAUGGCUUGUGUGUUUCUUCCUCUUAUUCCAACUGAUGUAAACUUCUGUGUUUGAUUUAAUGAUAUAAAUAACCAUAUCGUUUUUGUGGCACUAGAGUUAUUUUGUCUUAUAUAAUGCAUUUCCAUCAACAAAUUGCUGCAUGCUGUUGUACCUAGUUUUAUAUAAAAAGUACUUUAGGGGUGAAUUUGCUUAUUAGUAUGUUGGGACGAUGGCAUUUGAAACAUUAUUUAACAGUCUUUAGUCUCCCUAAUGUCCCUUAUUUCCCUGAAGUGGAAUUGGACCACAAUCAUGAAUGAUCGUAUCUGUAUUAUUCUUUAGAAUUGUAGCCCUAAACUGUGUCUUUGGAAGUGCUGAAGUGUAGUACAUGCAAUCUAGGAUUUUCUUUUAUAGCAGUGAUUUAUUUUAUGGUUUGUUCAGGAGUUUCCAUUUUGUAUUCAGGUGAUUGAAUUAAGAGGCGAUGCUGCCACCAAAUAACCGGAAAUUUGAAUUCUAGGAAUGAAUUUUUAUGUCAAUUUUUCUAUUUUUUGUUGCCAUUCUCUCUUUUGUUAUUUUCCUGGUGUGAAAUGGUGCCCUUCAGGCCAAAUUAAAUGCUCAUUGCAUUUCUUGAUUUUUCGUAAGAUUUUCAUCUGGGCUUGUAAAAUGCCGAAUGCAAAAGUUUAUUCAUCCUUAAAUUGAGAAAAAUUAUACUUUUGCCCAUAUGUGUUGAUGGAAAGUGAAUACUAGAUUCUAAGUUGAAGCCCUUUUUAUUCCUUACGUUCAUUUAUGCUUUUUCAUUUUGCUGUCAUUCACCAUGAUUGUAGAACAGGGUUUCAUGCUGGCAGUUUCUGUUUAGUUUUUGUUCUACUAAUUGGUCUCCUUGGUGUUUUGGUCGGCUAUCUAGCACAGAGAGGUUAGAAUCUGCAGUUCAAACAAGCAUAUUCAUAGUUCCAUGCUGGAUACAGAGCAGAAAAGACGAAUGCAAACUUAAUUUUAUCUGCACGACAGGGCUCAGGAAUAAGGUCAUCGAGAGACUUUGGUACCUUCAUGCUCCUAGUGGAGCCUAACUUUGCAGGUCAGAUGACGGAACAAAAAGUAGUAGCUUUUGUUUUAUUAGUGAUUAGAAGUAGAGGUGAAUUUCAUCCAAGCCGCUCCAGUUUGGAUCAAUGAUCAGCACGGCCAGAACCUUCUCGUCUUGCCUGUGUCACUGCUUUGGAAAACUAGUUUGCCGGCAAUUCUUGUUCUAUUUUUUAAGACAAUUUGACUGAACCAAACUUGUUCUUGAGUGGAGAUCAUUUUGGAUUCGAACUAAAUUUAAAUUGAUUCUGUUUGGAAGAAAUUCACCUCUAUUCGAAAAUGGGUUUGGUUAAUUAGAAGGCCAUCCGAUUUAUCCUAUAAACUUGUCUGCCGCGUACCGAAAGUUAUUCUGCUAACGGUGUUGGAACUCGCUGUGCAAUUCUACCUGAUUCUAAAAUAUAUUCUGUCGAGUUCCUAGAACAAAAGGCUUUUAUUCAUUACAAUAGGAGGAAUACAUAUGGCUGACUGAGCACUGCAAGAUAUUACAUAUAAUA